Molecule: ribosomal RNA, 136 nt
Filed under: uncultured bacterium
Lineage: Bacteria
Description: partial 16S ribosomal RNA
Rfam family: Bacterial small subunit ribosomal RNA
Source: RNAcentral
UGGGGAAUAUGCACAAUGGGCGAAAGCCUGAUGCAGCGACGCCGCGUGAAGGAUGAAGUAUUUCGGUAUGUAAACUUCUAUCAGCAGGGAAGAAAAUGACGGUACCUGACUAAGAAGCCCCGGCUAACUACGUGCC